AUGAAGCCGAAUGAAUCAGAGGCUCAGAAGCAACAACAGUGCAAAUCCGGUUCAGGUGGAGCGAGGCUGAGUCGGGCUGCAGUGGCGGCUCGGCGCGCCGGCGAGGCCGGUUCAGGCGCAGCGAGGCCGAGGCGAGCUAUAGUAGUGGCUCGGCGCGCCGGCGAGGCCAGUUCAAGCGCAGCGAGGCUGGACGGCUCGGGGCCGGCGAUUCAACGACGGCGGGUGUGGGGUGUCUCGAAGGCGUCUUGGAGCAGAGUUGACCCGGCGAAACAACUUCAGGGGCGGCUCAGGCAACGGCGGUUUACCUGUGGCAAGCUUUGGUGA
This 324-nucleotide ribosomal RNA is filed under the name Triticum aestivum (bread wheat). Its description in RNAcentral is "partial small subunit ribosomal RNA". Lineage: Eukaryota; Viridiplantae; Streptophyta; Magnoliopsida; Poales; Poaceae. The record is from RNAcentral.